Molecule: ribosomal RNA, 844 nt
Filed under: uncultured bacterium
Lineage: Bacteria
Description: bacterial SSU rRNA
Rfam family: Bacterial small subunit ribosomal RNA
Source: RNAcentral
CCAACGCCUGGCGGCAGGCCUACACAUGCAAGUCGAGCGCGCCCUUCGGGGUGAGCGGCGGACGGGUUAGUAACGCGUGGGAAUAUACCCGACACUAAGGAAUAGCCUCUGGAAACGGAGAGUAAUACCUUAUACGCCCUUCGGGGGAAAGAUUUAUCGGUGACGGAUUAGCCCGCGUUAGAUUAGAUAGUUGGUGGGGUAAUGGCCUACCAAGUCUACGAUCUAUAGCUGGUUUUAGAGGAUGAUCAGCAACACUGGGACUGAGACACGGCCCAGACUCCUACGGGAGGCAGCAGUGGGGAAUCUUGGACAAUGGGCGCAAGCCUGAUCCAGCCAUGCCGCGUGAGUGAUGAAGGCCUUAGGGUCGUAAAGCUCUUUCGCCAGAGAUGAUAAUGACAGUAUCUGGUAAAGAAACCCCGGCUAACUCCGUGCCAGCAGCCGCGGUAAUACGGAGGGGGUUAGCGUUGUUCGGAAUUACUGGGCGUAAAGCGCGCGUAGGCGGAUUAGUAAGUUAGAGGUGAAAUCCCGGGGCUCAACCCCGGAACUGCCUUUAAUACUGCUAGUCUUGAGUUCGAGAGAGGUGAGUGGAAUUCCGAGUGUAGAGGUGAAAUUCGUAGAUAUUCGGAGGAACACCAGUGGCGAAGGCGGCUCACUGGCUCGAUACUGACGCUGAGGUGCGAAAGUGUGGGGAGCAAACAGGAUUAGAUACCCUGGUAGUCCACACCGUAAACGAUGAAUGCCAGUCGUCGGGUAGCAUGCUAUUCGGUGACACACCUAACGGAUUAAGCAUUCCGCCUGGGGAGUACGGUCGCAAGAUUAAAACUCAAAUGAAUUGACGGAAGGC